AGUUUCUUAGUUUCUCUCCCUUUCACAUUAAAUAUGAAAAAGUCCCACUGGUCAGCAGCAAGAGUUUUAACACUUCUUUAUCUACUAAAGGAUGUGGUCAAAGCAAGGAAGAUGGCCACUGAGAUGAUGCUACUGGAGAGGGUGUCCCACCCGCCAUAAUACCUCAUGAAUGCUGCAGCUUUAUCAUCUUGCACAACAGAAAGGUGACCCUUGGACUGGACUCUGCCUGCACACUUUUAAGCAUAUACACGUGACCAGAGGAGCUACAGGUUCUGUGAUUAUUGGUUUCAGGGCAAAUCCUGGAAGCAGAAGCAGCUUUUGAGCACAGCAAGGCAACAGUCAAAUUGCUUUGAGAAGAGUUUCAAUCCUGAGCUGACCUCUCCCCCACUUCUUCCAUUUCUCCACUCUUUCAGUCCAGAGACAGGAUGAUCUGCUUUAUACUACAGAAGAUGAAAGGCCACUUCCUAAACCUGUGUAAGGAUCAGCUAUAAAAUGAGGACAGUACCAAACUUAAAAUGGCUGAGAUUACGCUUCCCUGGUGGUGCAGUGGUU
Non-coding RNA from Delphinapterus leucas (beluga whale), 552 nucleotides. The record is from RefSeq and is a predicted model, not a curated record. Lineage: Eukaryota; Metazoa; Chordata; Mammalia; Artiodactyla; Monodontidae.